RNAcentral lists this ribosomal RNA (467 nucleotides) under uncultured beta proteobacterium. RNAcentral's name for it is "bacterial SSU rRNA". It matches the Rfam family "Bacterial small subunit ribosomal RNA", at positions 198 to 645 of the family's 1533-position model. The record is from RNAcentral. Lineage: Bacteria; Pseudomonadati; Pseudomonadota; Betaproteobacteria.
GGAGGAAAGCAGGGGAUCGCAAGACCUUGCGCUUUUGGAGCGGCCGAUGCCUGAUUAGCUUGUUGGUGAGGUAAAAGCUCACCAAGGCUUCGAUCAGUAGCUGGUCUGAGAGGACGACCAGCCACACUGGGACUGAGACACGGCCCAGACUCCUACGGGAGGCAGCAGUGGGGAAUUUUGGACAAUGGGGGCAACCCUGAUCCAGCCAUGCCGCGUGAGUGAAGAAGGCCUUCGGGUUGUAAAGCUCUUUCAGCCGGAACGAAACGGUUACGAUUAAUACCCGUGACUACUGACGGUACCGGAAGAAGAAGCACCGGCUAACUACGUGCCAGCAGCCGCGGUAAUACGUAGGGUGCGAGCGUUAAUCGGAAUUACUGGGCGUAAAGCGUGCGCAGGUGGUUUUGUAAGUCAGAUGUGAAAUCCCCGGGCUUAACCCUGGGAACUGCGUUUGAAACUACAACGCUAGA